GCGCUGCGGUAGUAGCAGCUGAUCCAUGGCACGGCAUGGAGCAGUCGUGUUCGUAGCGCGUUUCGGAGUGUGAUCGUACCGGUACGAUCGUGAACGACGUUUCUCCACGUCGUCGAGUUUCGUUCUAGUGAUCCUCGUGUUCGACACUCGUGACAAGUGACUGUCCCGGAUCCGUGCUAUUCGACCAAUUCCUCCGCUGACACGUUGCGAAACGGUGAAAGGUACAGAGGACGUGCAAGGAGAACGACGGACGAAGGAAGAGCAAGGAGAAUCCGUCACGACAUAUCUAUCCUGAAAAAUUGGAAACCUCGAGGAAAGGGGGAGCAUCGGCGAAACUGAAUUGCAGCGAGGUGCUAUCUACCCCUAAUUCAGCGACAUCCUGUACACGAGCCAGGAGGGUGCGCAGCGGAGAAGCAGGUAAAGAAGUGAUAAGAAUCCGGGGUCCAAUCGUUCGUGGAAAGAAAAUCAUGGAGGAUUUUUCAGCGAGGAAUAAAGCUGACGGGAGAGGAGAGGUCACGUCGCGGUAAAGCCAACCAGGCGUGAUCUACUCGACGAACAUUCGAUUCUACCCUUUCGUAUUGUCAACCUGAAGAAUACCGCGUAAGUAUCUUUUUUUUAUUCUUGAGAAACCAUAUGGAGU
Molecule: long non-coding RNA, 640 nt
Organism: Megachile rotundata (alfalfa leafcutting bee)
Lineage: Eukaryota; Metazoa; Arthropoda; Insecta; Hymenoptera; Megachilidae
Gene: Tpst
Source: RefSeq, a predicted model, not a curated record